This 223-nucleotide ribosomal RNA is filed under the name uncultured bacterium. Its description in RNAcentral is "partial 16S ribosomal RNA". It matches the Rfam family "Bacterial small subunit ribosomal RNA", at positions 109 to 334 of the family's 1533-position model. The record is from RNAcentral.
AGUAAUGUCUGGGAAACUGCCUGAUGGAGGGGGGUAACGUACUGGAAACGGUAGCUAAUACCGCAUAAUGUCGCAAGACCAAAGUGGGGGACCUUCGGGCCUCAUGCCAUCAGAUGUGCCCAGAUGGGAUUAGCUAGUAGGUGGGGUAACGGCUCACCUAGGCGACGAUCCCUAGCUGGUCUGAGAGGAUGGCCAGCCACACUGGAACUGAGACACGGUCCAG